Acanthosepion pharaonis is the source of this 107-nucleotide non-coding RNA. The record is from the annotation of a GenBank genome assembly. Lineage: Eukaryota; Metazoa; Mollusca; Cephalopoda; Sepiida; Sepiidae.
GGCCAUAUCAUGUUGAAACAUUGGUUCCCAUACAGUCAAAGUUAAACAACAUCAAGCCUGGCCAGUACCUAGAUGGGUGACCACUUGGGAAUACCAGGUGCUGUAAG